GAAGGGGGCUAGCGUUGUUCGGAAUUACUGGGCGUAAAGCGAGUGUAGGUGGUUGUCCAAGUUGGAUGUGAAAGCCUUGAGCUCAACUCAAGAAAUGCAUUCAGGACUGGAUGACUAGAGGACCGGAGAGGAUAGUGGAAUUCCCAGUGUAGUGGUGAAAUACGUAGAGAUUGGGAAGAACACCAGUGGCGAAGGCGGCUAUCUGGACGGUUUCUGACACUAAGACUCGAAAGCGUGGGGAGCAAACAGGAUUAGAUACCCUGGUAGUCCACGCCGUAAACGAUGGGUGCUAGACGUUGGCGAGCUUGCUCGUCAGUGUCGCAGCUAACGCGUUAAGCACCCCGCCUGGGGAGUACGGCCGCAAGGUUGAA
This 371-nucleotide ribosomal RNA is filed under the name uncultured bacterium. RNAcentral describes it as "bacterial SSU rRNA". It matches the Rfam family "Bacterial small subunit ribosomal RNA", at positions 527 to 898 of the family's 1533-position model. The record is from RNAcentral.